GAUGAACGCUGGCGGCGUGCCUAAUACAUGCAAGUCGAACGCUGGAGAUCUAGCUUGCUAGAUCGAAGGAGUGGCGAACGGGUGAGUAAUACAUGAGCAACCUACCCACGAAGACUGGGAUAAUCUCUGGAAACGGGGACUAAUACCGGAUAGGUAAUCGGAAGGCAUCUUCUGGUUAUUAAAGGUUAAAAACACUGGUGGAUGGGCUUAUGGCGCAUUAGUUAGUUGGUGAGGUAACGGCCCACCAAGACGAUGAUGCGUAGCCGGCCUGAGAGGGUGAACGGCCACAUUGGGACUGAGACACGGCCCAGACUCCUACGGGAGGCAGCAGUAGGGAAUUUUCGGCAAUGGGGGCAACCCUGACCGAGCAACGCCGCGUGAGUGAAGACGGCCUUCGGGUUGUAAAGCUCUGUUGUAAGGGAAGAACGGUAGAUAGAGAAUAUCUAAGUGACGGUACCUUACCAGAAAGCCACGGCUAACUACGUG
Molecule: ribosomal RNA, 486 nt
Filed under: uncultured bacterium
Lineage: Bacteria
Description: partial 16S ribosomal RNA
Rfam family: Bacterial small subunit ribosomal RNA
Source: RNAcentral